CCUACGGGUGGCAGCAGUGGGGAAUAUUGCACAAUGGGCGCAAGCCUGAUGCAGCCAUGCCGCGUGUGUGAAGAAGGCCUUCGGGUUGUAAAGCACUUUCAGCGGGGAGGAAGGCGUUAAGGUUAAUAACCUUGGCGAUUGACGUUACCCGCAGAAGAAGCACGGGCUAACUCCGUGCCAGCAGCCGCGGUAAUACGGAGGGUGCAAGCGUUAAUCGGAAUUACUGGGCGUAAAGCGCACGCAGGCGGUCUGUCAAGUCGGAUGUGAAAUCCCCGGGCUCAACCUGGGAACUGCAUUCGAAACUGGCAGGCUAGAGUCUUGUAGAGGGGGGUAGAAUUCCAGGUGUAGCGGUGAAAUGCGUAGAGAUCUGGAGGAAUACCGGUGGCGAAGGCGGCCCCCUGGACAAAGACUGACGCUCAGGUGCGAAAGCGCGGGGAGCAAACAGGAUUAGAUACCCGUGUAGUC
This 465-nucleotide ribosomal RNA is filed under the name uncultured Klebsiella sp. RNAcentral describes it as "bacterial SSU rRNA". It matches the Rfam family "Bacterial small subunit ribosomal RNA", at positions 338 to 795 of the family's 1533-position model. The record is from RNAcentral. Lineage: Bacteria; Pseudomonadati; Pseudomonadota; Gammaproteobacteria; Enterobacterales; Enterobacteriaceae.